UGGCUCAGAACGAACGCUGGCGGCAGGCCUAACACAUGCAAGUCGAACGCUCCGCAAGGGGAGUGGCGCACGGGUGAGUAACACGUGGGAACCUACCUUCUGGUACGGAACAACCAAGGGAAACUUUGGCUAAUACCGUAUACGACCUCCGGGUGAAAGAUUUAUCGCCGGAAGAGGGGCCCGCGUCCGAUUAGGUAGUUGGUGAGGUAACGGCUCACCAAGCCGACGAUCGGUAGCUGGUCUGAGAGGAUGRCCAGCCACACUGGGACUGAGACACGGCCCAGACUCCUACGGGAGGCAGCAGUGGGGAAUAUUGGACAAUGGGCGCAAGCCUGAUCCAGCCAUGCCGCGUGAGUGAUGAAGGCCUUCGGGUUGUAAAGCUCUUUCACCCACGACGAUGAU
This 402-nucleotide ribosomal RNA is filed under the name Inquilinus sp. R-46318. RNAcentral's name for it is "bacterial SSU rRNA". It matches the Rfam family "Bacterial small subunit ribosomal RNA", at positions 20 to 452 of the family's 1533-position model. Lineage: Bacteria; Pseudomonadati; Pseudomonadota; Alphaproteobacteria; Rhodospirillales; Rhodospirillaceae. The record is from RNAcentral.